This 425-nucleotide ribosomal RNA is filed under the name uncultured bacterium. Its description in RNAcentral is "partial 16S ribosomal RNA". It matches the Rfam family "Bacterial small subunit ribosomal RNA", at positions 354 to 796 of the family's 1533-position model. The record is from RNAcentral.
GUGGGGAAUAUUGGACAAUGGGCGAAAGCCUGAUCCAGCAAUGCCGCGUGAGUGAUGAAGGCCCUAGGGUUGUAAAGCUCUUUUACCAGGGAUGAUAAUGACAGUACCUGGAGAAUAAGCUCCGGCUAACUCCGUGCCAGCAGCCGCGGUAAUACGGAGGGAGCUAGCGUUGUUCGGAAUUACUGGGCGUAAAGCGCGCGUAGGCGGUUUUUUAAGUCAGAGGUGAAAGCCCGGGGCUCAACCCCGGAAUUGCCUUUGAAACUGGAAAACUUGAAUCUUGGAGAGGUCAGUGGAAUUCCGAGUGUAGAGGUGAAAUUCGUAGAUAUUCGGAAGAACACCAGUGGCGAAGGCGACUGACUGGACAAGUAUUGACGCUGAGGUGCGAAAGCGUGGGGAGCAAACAGGAUUAGAUACCCGGGUAGUCC